CCGUAUCGCGCCACAUCAGACCAUUAAUUGGUGCGCGUGUAGAGUGGGUAUAUAAAGGCGCUCGUGAUCACUAUUCCGGCAUAACACAUUUUUGUGCGAUUUUAUUCAUUGUCUUCACUUCACUCCAAAAAAACCAAACCAAAAAUCAAAAAUGGGCGCUGAAAAGGUAUCCAUGAACAUCGUUGUCGUCGGACAAGUCCAAUAUGCUAAGGCCAUCAAAACCGUCGUCAAGGUAGCUCCAACCACCAGCCAAUUGAUGAAGUGUUAAGUUAUGUGAUCCAUCAAUAACAAACCUAAAAAUGCCAUAGCCCAAACAACAUAUAUUAUAUUUAUAACGUAUGUUGACAUUGCAAAAUAAAACAGUCUUCUCCGUAAUUUA
This is a long non-coding RNA of Sipha flava (yellow sugarcane aphid), 379 nucleotides long. RefSeq lists it as uncharacterized. NCBI's taxonomy places the organism in Eukaryota, Metazoa, Arthropoda, Insecta, Hemiptera, Aphididae. The transcript has 3 exons. The record is from RefSeq and is a predicted model, not a curated record.